AUGAGCUCACCAGUCCUUCCUGCUGCACCUGCUAGACCUCCAGUUUUGCAGGACACACAUAUCAAACUCCAAUUGUACCUCAUCCGUGUCUUUCCAGGUUAUUAUUACCUGUCUUUUUUGGCCCAUGAUGAUGGAGUACCCAUAUUUCAUCUGUACAAUGUCAAACAAUUCUUAUUUGUACCUUCUGUAGGCCCAUGCAAUCUUUUGUCAAGAACAUUGUCAUUUCAGUGGUUGUCAUCAUGUAAACAGUGGGCUCAUCUGUUUGCUGCUUGUGCUACUAGAGGUAACAUUAUAAGGCCUUCUACUACCAUUGUUGCAUGGCAAAUUUGGUGA
RNAcentral lists this ribosomal RNA (333 nucleotides) under Triticum aestivum (bread wheat). Its description in RNAcentral is "partial small subunit ribosomal RNA". Lineage: Eukaryota; Viridiplantae; Streptophyta; Magnoliopsida; Poales; Poaceae. The record is from RNAcentral.